This is a long non-coding RNA of Chinchilla lanigera (long-tailed chinchilla), 1375 nucleotides long. RefSeq lists it as uncharacterized. The record is from RefSeq and is a predicted model, not a curated record. The transcript has 5 exons. NCBI's taxonomy places the organism in Eukaryota, Metazoa, Chordata, Mammalia, Rodentia, Chinchillidae.
CGGUUCCCACGGCCCCUCCCCACCGGGCCGUCCUCUGCAGACCGACACCUCCUCCAGGGCGCUUUCCGGAGUGUGCCUGCGCUGUGGACUGUCAGGAGAUGCGGCCCGAGUCGGCUAACAGGCUUGGUCAUUUUGGGGAUCUCCUUUCCUCCCUGGAUCCCACCGGCCUCUAUAAAAACGUAGCUACUUCGUCUGGGGGUGCCUAAAACCUGUAAUCCCAGGACUCUGGGAGGCUGAGGCAGGAAGAUCACAAGCCUUUGAGCCCACCCUGGCCUAUUUAGUGAUUUAAAGAGACAACGUCUCAAAAAUAUAAAAAAGGCUGUAGCUGUAGCUCAGUGUGAAGGUCCUGGGUUCAACCCCCAGUACCAAAAAACAAGCAAAGCCUCACUACCUCCAACCUGACCUUUUGCUGCAGACAGUGCUGCUGCUGAAGGAACUUGCUGUAAGUGUGGACUUCCCUUGCUCAGAAAUCUUCCAUGGCUCCCUAUUGCCUGCAGAAGAACAUCUAAACAGCUCAGUCUGCCUUUCAAGGUCCUCUGGGACGGAAACAUGGCAGAGCUGUUGGCGGAUGGGAGCGUGAGGAGCACUGCACGGGUCGCUGUCGUGGGUGAGGAGCCUGGAUUCGCACCCCUCCCGAGGCAGGCGGUCUGGAGAGUCCCAGCAAUCCUGUUCACACGCCUCCUGCACCCGAUGCCAGGGACUUGGCCGUAGCUGGGAUCUCUGCUCACUGCCCUCCCUUUCUUCUUCACCAGAGCUGAGCGGUGUUGGAAGAGGCAGGCUGGCUUUGGCGGAGAAGACUUGACAGGGCGAGGGGGCAGCCCAGCAUGGACCCCUCGGCCACCAGCAUCAGGUGUCACUGCCUCGUAGCCCCAUUCCCCUUGUGCCCUGUGGCCCGGAUACCCACUCUCAGCCACCUCAGGAAGCUGCCUCGUGUCCUGGCCCCUGAAAAUCCUGCUUUGGGGCUCUACCGCCAUGUCCUGUAAAUCUGUCUGCUGCCUUCCCUGGCGCACACUCGGCACGGGGGUGGGGAACGGGGCCAGAGCACCACAUCAGUUGUUCCAGAUGUUCCAGCUGGCAAGGGCCAGGCUCCACAAGGCCAAUGGUGACCAGUAGGAAAGAGGUGGCCCAGUCCCAGGGGGCCUCCUGGACUUAGGACAGUGGAGUCUCCCUGGAGCACCCCUACCCUGCCGAGAUCCUCCUCUUGCUCCUCAGCCUCUUCUGGAAACAACCCCCUCCCCCCUGAGGGCCCUGUGUGCACCCUCUGGUUCUGGAUGGAGGUGGGCUUCUCUGCGUCCUCCCUGCCCACUCCUGGAAUGGUGCCGGGUGCCCAGAAGAUAUCAGUACCUCUUUGUGGAAUGAAGGAAUAAACCAACCA